Long non-coding RNA from Nanorana parkeri, 146 nucleotides. RefSeq lists it as uncharacterized. NCBI's taxonomy places the organism in Eukaryota, Metazoa, Chordata, Amphibia, Anura, Dicroglossidae. The record is from RefSeq and is a predicted model, not a curated record. The transcript has 2 exons.
AUGGCCUUUAUGGAAAGGAAGGAGAUUUAGGUAGAAUGAUCGGUGUUAAAUAAAGCGGGCAAACAAAACACACACACUCCCCUAAAUGGUGCUCUGGCAGGACAGAUAUUUACAUCUUGUUUUCCGUUUUUAGAGAAAAAUAAAAC